UAAAAGACAGGAAAUUGAGGCUCAGAGAGGGGAAACGACUCGCCCAAGGUUAAGAGAAAAAGCGGUCCUAGUCGUGGGGGUGACAAACUUCACUAAGGGUCUUCUGAAGACAAAGGCUGCAGUUUUCUUCUGUGUGGACCUAACAGGGGACAUACUCUGCUCUCAGCAAAGUGGAAGGAAGAGGAGAGCUAAACUUUGCUGAGUGCUCACAUACCUGUAUCAUGUAUAGGUACGACCUCCUGUACAUAUCAUGCCUUCCAUUUUACAGACGAGGCUAAGUGAGAAAUCCAAGAUCUCCCAGCAAGCCAGGUGCCAAAUAGCAAUGGGAAUCCUGGGUGACCUGGUAUCCAUCCUUGCCUGUCCCUCUAUUCUCUGCUUCCUGGACUCUGGUAACACUCCAGCAGGGACACAGAGGUGAGGGCUGGACACCCUGAUCCUGGGAGAGAGCCCGACAUUCACAUUAGGGUCCAGAAGUCUUGGAGUAAAUUCCAGAAGUGGCCGAUCUCAGGCUGAAAAAGAACCGCGAACAUGAAAGAUGCUUAAUAACAUGUAAAGUGCUGGACUCAUGUUGAGAUCAGAGAAGGAGGUUGGCAAAGGUGAUGUUUCCUUGAGCUUUGGAGACCAGCAGACCCAGGGCAAACCCCAGUUUCUUCCACUCCUGAAAGAGUCCUUGGGGUUGACCCAUAUGGCCAUGCAGAUUUUGAAGGUGUCCAGCAGAAGGGAUAAGUGGGAGCUGAAAUCUAGCUUGAACUCUAAUUGCCAAGCCUUGCCUUUGGCAGAGGGCUACAUCAGGUGAGAGGAAGGGGCACUUUUUUCUGAUCUGCACACAAAGGCACACGAAAGAACAAAUGUGGCACAAGGCAGCAGCCCUGCCUUUGAGAACCAGGCCCUAGUCUGAGUGUGGUGAAACCAGGGCUGAAGCAGGUACAACUUCUGUCCUAGAGCACCCUAUAGUCUGAGGCUGUGAUUUCUAAGUGAGAUGAUGGCACACGGAAGGUGCUCAACGAAUGGUAUAUAUACAGUCAGGACAGCAGAUGCUACAAGAAAAAAUGGUGCUCUGAGAGUUGGUCACACAAGGGCUUCCUGCAGGAGGGAUUUCAAGCUGGACCUUGAAUGGUGGAGAAGAUUUAGAUAAGCAGAAGGGUGGAAUGACAUGGGCAAAAAUUUGAGAGAGGAGGAUCCUCUCCCAGGUCAGACUGGCUGACUCAGAAGUUUCUUGCAGGAAAGAAGAGGCACAGUUGGAGAGGUAGGGAGAAUUUAGAUUUUAGAGGUCAGACUGGAAUCACUGGGGCUAUUUCAACAGCUCAGGUCAAGCCUUCAAAGGAUCUCUCUGUUGAUAAGUGUGUGGUGGGAAAGAAUCAAGUGCAGAGAAAAAGGAAUUGCACAAUUCUGCCUCAAAACUCAAAAGAAUUCUCAGGGGCCGGCACUGUAGCCAAGUGGUUAAGUUCACAUGCUCCGCUUUGGCAGCCAGGGUUUUGCUGGUUGGGAUCCUGGGUGCGGACAUGGCACCGCUCAUCAGCCCAUGCUGAGGCAGCGUCCCACAUGCCACAACUAGAAGGACCUACAACUAGAAUACACAACUAUGUGCCGAGGGGGCUUAGGGGAAAAGAAG
This is a long non-coding RNA of Equus caballus (horse), 1612 nucleotides long. The record is from Ensembl. NCBI's taxonomy places the organism in Eukaryota, Metazoa, Chordata, Mammalia, Perissodactyla, Equidae.